GUGAGGAAUAUUGGACAAUGGGCGCAAGCCUGAUCCAGCCAUGCCGCGUGCAGGAAGACGCAUCUAUGGUGUGUAAACUGCUUUUGUACGGGAAGAAACACUCCCUCGUGAGGGAGCUUGACGGUACCGUAAGAAUAAGGAUCGGCUAACUCCGUGCCAGCAGCCGCGGUAAUACGGAGGAUCCAAGCGUUAUCCGGAAUCAUUGGGUUUAAAGGGUCCGUAGGCGGUUUAAUAAGUCAGUGGUGAAAGCCCAUCGCUCAACGAUGGAACGGCCAUUGAUACUGUUAGACUUGAAUUACAAGGAAGUAACUAGAAUAUGUAGUGUAGCGGUGAAAUGCUUAGAUAUUACAUGGAAUACCAAUUGCGAAGGCAGGUUACUACUUGUGGAUUGACGCUGAUGGACGAAAGCGUGGGGAGCGAACAGGAUUAGAACCCCUGUAGUCC
RNAcentral lists this ribosomal RNA (444 nucleotides) under uncultured bacterium. RNAcentral describes it as "partial 16S ribosomal RNA". It matches the Rfam family "Bacterial small subunit ribosomal RNA", at positions 354 to 796 of the family's 1533-position model. The record is from RNAcentral.